RNAcentral lists this transfer RNA (68 nucleotides) under Onthophagus nitidior. RNAcentral describes it as "tRNA-Asp". Lineage: Eukaryota; Metazoa; Arthropoda; Insecta; Coleoptera; Scarabaeidae. The record is from RNAcentral.
AAAAAUUUAGUUAAUAAUAUAACAUUAGUUUGUCAAACUAAAAUAAUUUUUUAUAAAAAUAAUUUUUA